AUUGAACGCUGGCGGCAUGCUUUACACAUGCAAGUCGAACGGUAACAGGUCUUCGGAUGCUGACGAGUGGCGAACGGGUGAGUAAUACAUCGGAACGUGCCCGAUCGUGGGGGAUAACGCAGCGAAAGCUGUGCUAAUACCGCAUACGAUCUACGGAUGAAAGCGGGGGAUCGCAAGACCUCGCGCGGACGGAGCGGCCGAUGGCAGAUUAGGUAGUUGGUGGGGUAAAGGCUCACCAAGCCUUCGAUCUGUAGCUGGUCUGAGAGGACGACCAGCCACACUGGGACUGAGACACGGCCCAGACUCCUACGGGAGGCAGCAGUGGGGAAUUUUGGACAAUGGGCGCAAGCCUGAUCCAGCCAUGCCGCGUGCAGGAUGAAGGCCUUCGGGUUGUAAACUGCUUUUGUACGGAACGAAAAGGUCUGCCUUAAUACGGCGGGCCCAUGACGGUACCGUAAGAAUAAGCACCGGCUAACUACGUG
Molecule: ribosomal RNA, 482 nt
Filed under: uncultured bacterium
Lineage: Bacteria
Description: bacterial SSU rRNA
Rfam family: Bacterial small subunit ribosomal RNA
Source: RNAcentral